UAAGCCACGGCAAGCUAGGUGCCCGUCGGCAUUGUCGGCGCGCCUGGCCCAGUCCGAUCCCAGGCUCGGGUCCAGCCAUGGUCGAGCCAGGGCUCCACGCACUGGAUGACCCGUCAAUCACACCGGCUUAGGGGAGUGGCGAGUAAACUUGCAACAUUUCUGAGCCGAGGGCCCGGACCUAAAACGUACACUUAUCGAGCGGACACUUAUCGCGAGGUGACUGUAUUGGACUCUUCCGCGCGUGAACCAAUUGUGUGACUAACCUCGGCCUUGUCCUGCGCAGCACGCACUACAUCAUCCACGUGCCCUACCACGUGCACACCGUGCACCACCACCACGUCAAGAAGGUGCACGUGCCCGUGUACAUCAAGGAGCACCACCACGAGGAGCACCACCCCGUCAUCAGCAGCCACCACGGCUGGGACUGGGACUGAGGAGCUCAACAUGGCCGAGCGGCGGCGCGGACCCCAGCGUCCCUCCAAUCUAGUCUCAACGGCCCGGGACUUCCUCGAGCAGCCUCGGAGCAGUGUUACCAUCAUGUACAAAUAAGUCAUCAUCACCACCAACACCACCAUCACCACCAUCCGCCCAUUCCCCAUCAACCACAUCUACGCCAUCGUGUACCAAACCAUCAGAGGAUGAUAAUCUCAUCGCAGAAAGAAAGUAAACAUAAUAAAAACAAUUUUGAUAUGUAAAACGAAA
Molecule: long non-coding RNA, 702 nt
Organism: Frankliniella occidentalis (western flower thrips)
Lineage: Eukaryota; Metazoa; Arthropoda; Insecta; Thysanoptera; Thripidae
Exons: 2
Source: RefSeq, a predicted model, not a curated record